RNAcentral lists this transfer RNA (72 nucleotides) under Phrynosoma platyrhinos (Desert horned lizard). RNAcentral describes it as "tRNA-OTHER". The record is from RNAcentral. Lineage: Eukaryota; Metazoa; Chordata; Lepidosauria; Squamata; Phrynosomatidae.
GCCAGCAUGGUGUAGUGGUUUGAGCACUGGACUAUGACUGUGGAGAUCAGGGUUCAAGUCCCUGCUCAGGCA